RNAcentral lists this ribosomal RNA (858 nucleotides) under marine metagenome. RNAcentral describes it as "bacterial SSU rRNA". It matches the Rfam family "Bacterial small subunit ribosomal RNA", at positions 418 to 1295 of the family's 1533-position model. The record is from RNAcentral.
UUGGGUUGUAAAGCUCUUUCGUCGGGGAAGAAAAUGACUGUACCCGAAUAAGAAGGUCCGGCUAACUUCGUGCCAGCAGCCGCGGUAAUACGAAGGGACCUAGCGUAGUUCGGAAUUACUGGGCUUAAAGAGUUCGUAGGUGGUUGAAAAAGUUGGUGGUGAAAUCCCAGAGCUUAACUCUGGAACUGCCAUCAAAACUUUUCAGCUAGAGUAUGAUAGAGGAAAGCAGAAUUUCUAGUGUAGAGGUGAAAUUCGUAGAUAUUAGAAAGAAUACCAAUUGCGAAGGCAGCUUUCUGGAUCAUUACUGACACUGAGGAACGAAAGCAUGGGUAGCGAAGAGGAUUAGAUACCCUCGUAGUCCAUGCCGUAAACGAUGUGUGUUAGACGUUGGAAAUUUAUUUUCAGUGUCGCAGCGAAAGCGAUAAACACACCGCCUGGGGAGUACGACCGCAAGGUUAAAACUCAAAUGAAUUGACGGGGACCCGCACAAGUAGUGGAGCAUGUGGUUUAAUUCGAAGAUACGCGCAGAACCUUACCAACACUUGACAUGUUCGUCGCGACUUUAAGAGAUUAAAGUUUUCGGUUCGGCCGGACGAAACACAGGUGCUGCAUGGCUGUCGUCAGCUCGUGUCGUGAGAUGUUGGGUUAAGUCCCGCAACGAGCGCAACCCUCACUUUUAGUUGCCAUCAUUUAGUUGGGCACUCUGAAAGAACUGCCAGUGAUAAGCUGGAGGAAGGUGGGGAUGACGUCAAGUCCUCAUGGCCCUUACGUGUUGGGCUACACACGUGCUACAAUGGUAUCUACAACAGGAAGCAAAACCGCGAGGUUAAGCAAAUCCUUAAAAGAUACCUCAGUUCG